UACCAAACUAAUGCUACAUAAACAAAAGAGGUAUAUAGAAGCUCAACAUUCCACAUAAACAAGAAAGAUACAAAGGAUCAAGACCUAAUCCUAUAUUCUCACUCGGUAAGUUAAGUUAAAACAUGCCACCAUUUGCAACAACCAGUCAAUACUACUACUGCUGCUGCUAAUCCAAUCCAAAUUGUACAAACACUGAAAUGAACUAGAUUUAACAGCUUCAAUGGAAUAGCUCACUCCAAGCUUAGCACUAAUUUUCGCUCCAUUGCAUGUCCAGUCCUUUUUACAGUGACAGAUAUAAUCAGCAGCAUAGCCAACAGUAUGAUGACCACAAUCAAAAUUUUUUCCCUUCUACGGCUUUUUGCAAUUGUUUCUUCCAUCCGAUUCACCCUUCUCAGCAAACCCGGUAUAAUAUUCCUUCCUCUUGUACAAAUUGGUUCAUCAUGCCAUUCAAAAUAUUUACACCUGUCAGGUCUCUACAAAUGUAAUCCCAUUUAUAAACAUCAGCAAAGCACAGUCACAAUUCAAUUUGAGUUGAAAUAGUAACAAAACUAAAAAAUUUCUUACUGGCCAUCUUGAGCAACCAUAAAAUCAUCUCCCUGGAUUAUCAUCCCGCCAAUAUGUUGCCAUUUUUGGCCGCAAUCCACAACCACACAGCCGGGCGUUGCUGUUUAAUGACGAUGACGAUGACGACUCAAGAUUUCUAGAUCUCAUUUUAGGGAAAUACAGCCACAAUGCUGGGUGUUGCUUUAUGCAAGUUUCUAUGCAAGUUUCUACUUUAUUUCUUGGCAGAAUUUGAUUUGGAAGAGGGGAUUUGCUCUCGGCAGAAUUUUCAGAUGGAGCUUGAGCUUAGGCUUGGAAAUUUGCAGAGGAAGUCGUUGAAGUGAAAGGAAAAGGGAAAGUGAAAGGCAAGGGAAAGGGGAAAGUGAAC
Molecule: long non-coding RNA, 928 nt
Filed under: Coffea arabica (coffee)
Lineage: Eukaryota; Viridiplantae; Streptophyta; Magnoliopsida; Gentianales; Rubiaceae
Description: long non-coding RNA (CARA_LNC005317)
Source: RNAcentral